CCGAGUUUACAACUCCCAAACCCCUGUGAACAUACCUAUACUGUUGCCUCGGCGGAUCAGCCCGCGCCCCGUAAAAAGGGACGGCCCGCCGCAGGAACCCUAAACUCUGUUUUUAGUGGAACUUCUGAGUAUAAACAAACAAAUAAAUCA
Molecule: unclassified non-coding RNA, 150 nt
Filed under: soil metagenome
Description: partial internal transcribed spacer 1
Source: RNAcentral